UGGCUCAGAUGGUAAAGCGUCUGCCCUCAACGCAGGAGACCCGGGUUCAAUCCCUGG
Non-coding RNA from Bos taurus (domestic cattle), 57 nucleotides. Lineage: Eukaryota; Metazoa; Chordata; Mammalia; Artiodactyla; Bovidae. The record is from Rfam.